Molecule: ribosomal RNA, 361 nt
Filed under: bacterium enrichment culture DGGE gel band N10
Lineage: Bacteria
Description: bacterial SSU rRNA
Rfam family: Bacterial small subunit ribosomal RNA
Source: RNAcentral
AACGCGAAGAACCUUACCUGGUCUUGACAUCCACGGAAGUUUUCAGAGAUGAGAAUGUGCCUUCGGGAACCGUGAGACAGGUGCUGCAUGGCUGUCGUCAGCUCGUGUUGUGAAAUGUUGGGUUAAGUCCCGCAACGAGCGCAACCCUUAUCCUUUGUUGCCAGCGGUCCGGCCGGGAACUCAAAGGAGACUGCCAGUGAUAAACUGGAGGAAGGUGGGGAUGACGUCAAGUCAUCAUGGCCCUUACGACCAGGGCUACACACGUGCUACAAUGGCGCAUACAAAGAGAAGCGAUCUCGCGAGAGCAAGCGGACCUCAUAAAGUGCGUCGUAGUCCGGAUUGGAGUCUGCAACUCGACUCC